CCGCUAGGCAUAUCUGUCCGCCGUUCCCCAUUCUCAACAUGCACACUCGCUCCACCGCCCCCGUUACACCUAUCCACCUCGUCAGGCCGGCCCUCGCUAAGCUCAGCUGCGCCCGCACCGCGCCGCGCCCAGCUGCGCCUGCCGCCCGUGCCACGCCCAGCUGCGUCUGCCGCCGGCGCCAAAUCUCUGCUAGCGGGAGCGGAAGGAUAGGAAGGAGAGAAGCCGCAUGCACUGACUUCCUUCCCCAUCGCCGGCGCUAGGUUUAGAUGGCCCCUUCUCGUCGAAUCCGGCCGCGCCGUAGUCAGGCGCUCGAGCUCUAUCGGGCGACCCAGCGCAAGGCGGCGUCUGAGGCGGAUGCGGAGGUGUCGGAUUCGUCUCUACCGGAUCGGCGGCUGCGGCACCAGUUGCAGCGGAUCGGGCGCUUCUCUUUCACCGGCGAGCUGCCCGUCGGCCGCGUAAGGGGAGGAGUCGAAGGAGCUGGUGUCGCGCUCAUCCUCGCGUUGGCCCGAUGUGAGAACUCCCGCUCCGCGCGCCGCCCGCAGUUGCGAAAGAACAUUGAAGGGAUGCUCGUGGAAGAUCAGGUCAAGAAGGUGCGAGAAGAACGUUGAUGGAUGCUCACGGAAGAUGAGGUCAAGAAGGUGGAUACGCCCAUGAUGCAUAGGAUGGUGUAAGAGGUGCAGGGAGCCGACGGCCUGUCCGCAGUGAGGAGGUGAUGGAGGAACAACCACCCACUUGAGGGUGGGUACAUGGUAGCCAGGGCGCUGACUGGGAAGGCGACGCUGCUGCCGGGCGGCGAGGUCGUCGUCCACCAAGGCGAUGAUGCUUCCGUGUGGCGAGGGGAUCAACCACAGUGAGGAGGUUAACAUGAUGGAUGAGUAGUCUGCUCGUGAUGAAGACCCUUAACUAUGAUGUCAUCUAGUCUCAUUUGCUACGGGGCAGCGAGGGCGCCGACCAGGAUGGCAACGCUGCUGCUGGGCGGGGAGGUCAUCGUCCAUCAAGGAGACGAUGCUUCAGUGUGGCGAGGGGAUCAACCUCAGUGAGGAGGUGAUGGAGGAACAACCACACACUUGAUGGGUGGGUACAGGGCGGUGAGGGCGCCGACCAGGAAGGCGACGCUGCUGCCAGGCGGCGAGGUCCUCGUCCACCAAGGCGACGACGCUUCCGUGCGGCGAGGGGAUCAAUCUGGGGAUCUGUUUCUAUUUUUAUGGGAUAUAUACGUAUCUUUUUUUGUGUGGCCUAUGUGAUGCGUGAUUGUAGGGGGUUUGGUCGAGCGCGUGUUGGGUCUCUAUUUUCCUCCGCGGUGGAGUAUGUCAGCCAAUUUAAAUCGGUAAGUGCACACCAGAAACAUAUCAGGUUACAAGGCUACCUGUUGGGUUGUGAUUAGUGAGCCUGAUCAUGUGGUGGUAUUGGGUCUGUGCAGGGCCGGUCCUGAGAUUUUGGGGGCCCGGGGUGAA
Molecule: RNA transcript, 1454 nt
Organism: Triticum urartu
Lineage: Eukaryota; Viridiplantae; Streptophyta; Magnoliopsida; Poales; Poaceae
Source: RefSeq, a predicted model, not a curated record